GGUGUAGCUCAGGGGUAGAGCACGACCUUGCCAAGGUCGGGGUCGAGGGUUCGAAUCCCUUCGCC
Molecule: transfer RNA, 65 nt
Filed under: Alphaproteobacteria bacterium
Lineage: Bacteria; Pseudomonadati; Pseudomonadota; Alphaproteobacteria
Description: tRNA-Gly
Rfam family: tRNA
About the family: Transfer RNA (tRNA) molecules are approximately 80 nucleotides in length. Their secondary structure includes four short double-helical elements and three loops (D, anti-codon, and T loops).
Source: RNAcentral